UACGUAGGGUGCGAGCGUUGUCCGGAUUUAUUGGGCGUAAAGAGCGCGUAGGCGGCGCUGUACGACCCGUGUGAAAGCCCCCGGCUCAACUGGGGAGGGUCACGGGUAACGGCAGUGCUCUGAGUGCAGGAGAGGGAAGUGGAACUCCGGGAGUAGCGGUGAAAUGCGUAGAGACCCGGAGGAACACCGGUGGCGAAGGCGGCUUCCUGGUCUGCAACUGACGCUGUGGCGCGAAAGCUAGGGGAGCAAACAGG
Molecule: ribosomal RNA, 254 nt
Filed under: uncultured bacterium
Lineage: Bacteria
Description: partial 16S ribosomal RNA
Rfam family: Bacterial small subunit ribosomal RNA
Source: RNAcentral